CACGUAGGGCGCAAGCGUUGUCCGGAAUUAUUGGGAGUAAAGAGCUCGUAGGCGGUCUGUUGCGUCCGCUGUGAAAACUCGGGGCUUAACCCCGAGCCUGCAGUGGAUACGGGCAGACUAGAGGUAGGUAGGGGAGAAUGGAAUUCCCGGUGUAGCGGUGAAAUGCGCAGAUAUCGGGAGGAACACCGGUGGCGAAGGCGGUUCUCUGGGCCUUACCUGACGCUGAGGAGCGAAAGCGUGGGGAGCGAACAGG
This 253-nucleotide ribosomal RNA is filed under the name uncultured bacterium. Its description in RNAcentral is "partial 16S ribosomal RNA". It matches the Rfam family "Bacterial small subunit ribosomal RNA", at positions 524 to 776 of the family's 1533-position model. The record is from RNAcentral.